GCAAGUCGAGCGGACAGAUGGGAGCUUGCUCCCUGAAGUCAGCGGCGGAGGGUGAGAAACACGUGGGCAACCUGCCUGUAAGACUGGGAUAACUCCGGGAACCGGGGCUAAUACCGGAUAAUUCUUUCCCUCACAUGAGGGAAAGCUGAAAGAUGGUUUCGGCUAUCACUUACAGAUGGGCCCGCGGCGCAUUAGCUAGUUGGUGAGGUAACGGCUCACCAAGGCAACGAUGCGUAGCCGACCUGAGAGGGUGAUCGGCCACACUGGGACUGAGACACGGCCCAGACUCCUACGGGAGGCAGCAGUAGGGAAUCUUCCGCAAUGGACGAAAGUCUGACGGAGCAACGCCGCGUGAGUGAUGAAGGUUUUCGGAUCGUAAAACUCUGUUGUUAGGGAAGAACAAGUACCGGAGUAACUGCCGGUACCUUGACGGUACCUAACCAGAAAGCCACGGCUAACUACGUGCCAGCAGCCGCGGUAAUACGUAGGUGGCAAGCGUUGUCCGGAAUUAUUGGGCGUAAAGCGCGCGCAGGCGGUUCCUUAAGUCUGAUGUGAAAGCCCCCGGCUCAACCGGGGAGGGUCAUUGGAAACUGGGGAACUUGAGUGCAGAAGAGAAGAGUGGAAUUCCACGUGUAGCGGUGAAAUGCGUA
RNAcentral lists this ribosomal RNA (650 nucleotides) under Cytobacillus oceanisediminis. RNAcentral describes it as "bacterial SSU rRNA". It matches the Rfam family "Bacterial small subunit ribosomal RNA", at positions 57 to 692 of the family's 1533-position model. Lineage: Bacteria; Bacillati; Bacillota; Bacilli; Caryophanales; Bacillaceae. The record is from RNAcentral.